AGUGAACGCUGGCGGCAGGCCUAACACAUGCAAGUCGAACGGCAGCACAGUAAUAGCUUGCUCUUACGGGUGGCGAGUGGCGGGCGGGUGAGGAAUACAUCGGAAUCUACUUUUUCGUGGGGGAUAACGUAGGGAAACUUACGCUAAUACCGCAUACGACCUACGGGUGAAAGCAGGGGAUCUUCGGACCUUGCGCGAUUGAAUGAGCCGAUGUCGGAUUAGCUAGUUGGCGGGGUAAAGGCCCACCAAGGCGACGAUCCGUAGCUGGUCUGAGAGGAUGAUCAGCCACACUGGAACUGAGACACGGUCCAGACUCCUACGGGAGGCAGCAGUGGGGAAUAUUGGACAAUGGGCGCAAGCCUGAUCCAGCCAUACCGCGUGGGUGAAGAAGGCCUUCGGGUUGUAAAGCCCUUUUGUUGGGAAAGAAAAGCAGCAGGUUAAUACCCCGCUGUUCUGACGGUACCCAAAGAAUAAGCACCGGCUAACUUCGUG
This 492-nucleotide ribosomal RNA is filed under the name uncultured bacterium. RNAcentral describes it as "partial 16S ribosomal RNA". It matches the Rfam family "Bacterial small subunit ribosomal RNA", at positions 29 to 507 of the family's 1533-position model. The record is from RNAcentral.